This 358-nucleotide unclassified non-coding RNA is filed under the name Hevea brasiliensis (rubber tree). Lineage: Eukaryota; Viridiplantae; Streptophyta; Magnoliopsida; Malpighiales; Euphorbiaceae. The record is from RNAcentral.
AAAAAAACAAGGGUUUUUCAGAUGCACAUCUUCUUUUACUAGCAGGGGAAUUAAUUGAUAAUAUAAACAUGGGAGCAAAAUCUAUGGUAUAUUGCAAACUUGUGGUUAGCCUCAAUUCAACCCCUGCUAAAAAUGUUCUUUGGUUUAAAGAAUUGACCUUUAAUGCCUGAAAUAAUGCUUUGUAUAUAUGAUAUUGGCAUCUAAUUAACUUUGCGAUGAUUGUAUAUGAUCUAAUUGAUUAUGACGAUGUUUUAGCUUAUAAGAAUUAACAAAUCUUGGAAUGGAUUUCAGUCAACAAUGUGUUUACUCAUUUUGUGGUUUUGUAUGUUAGUUCUCUCCUUGAAUAUGUAUAGUGCAG